UACGGAGGGUGCGAGCGUUGUCCGGAAUCAUUGGGCGUAAAGGGCGCGUAGGUGGCGGGACAAGCGUGCGGUGAAAGCCUGGGGCUCAACCCCGGGUCGGCCGUGCGAACUGUUUUGCUUGAGCACUGUAGAGGCAGGCGGAAUUCCGGGGUGUAGCGGUGGAAUGCGUAGAUAUCAGGAGGAACACCGGUGGCGAAGGCGGUGGUCUGGGCCGGCACUGACGCUGAGGAGCGAAAGCGUGGGGAGCAAACAGG
RNAcentral lists this ribosomal RNA (254 nucleotides) under uncultured bacterium. RNAcentral describes it as "partial 16S ribosomal RNA". It matches the Rfam family "Bacterial small subunit ribosomal RNA", at positions 524 to 776 of the family's 1533-position model. The record is from RNAcentral.